GCAUAUAUUGAGAGUCUUUGUAAACAAAAAUGCAAUAUCGCAUGUAAACACGAACUUCAAUCAUGGGAACGCUUCAAGACGAGUUGAUCUUUCUUCCAUGAACAACGGACAAGCUCAAGAGUAAAAGCAACCAAACAAAAAGCAGCUUUAAUAUAAAUAUAAACCAAUAUCUGUAAACAAUCAAAUUCAAUGCAUAAUCACGAAGCAAACAGCUAAAAUACAACGACCCAAGUCCACCAGAAACCCAAUUUACAAAUUCAGGUGCUUCAAAAUGACACCGGAAACACUCAAUUUUACACAUACAAUACAAAUUAAAGGGCGGGUUUAAGAGCAAUCGAUUUAAACCUCUGAAGAAGAAUGUUGAGAAGGUAGCGAGAGAAAGUGGUUUUGCCACAGUUUUUGGCUCCACAGAUUAAGGCAAUAGGACGGGGUGCAGUAGCGGAAUAGUACGUUAUGGUGCGUGCUCCUCUGCCCCUUCCUCCGGUAUAUGUACGGUCGGUGUCGGGUGUUCCGUCACUGAUAUGAAAGCCAUAGCAUUCUCUUUUAUCUCUACGUGGACGCUGCACACUUGGGAUUUCUCUUGUUUUAUUUGUGUGCUUUCCGACUGGCGUUUGGAAACUG
Molecule: long non-coding RNA, 621 nt
Filed under: Manihot esculenta (cassava)
Lineage: Eukaryota; Viridiplantae; Streptophyta; Magnoliopsida; Malpighiales; Euphorbiaceae
Description: long non-coding RNA (MESC_LNC003567)
Source: RNAcentral